This 622-nucleotide long non-coding RNA is filed under the name Eutrema salsugineum. RNAcentral's name for it is "long non-coding RNA (ESAL_LNC000161)". Lineage: Eukaryota; Viridiplantae; Streptophyta; Magnoliopsida; Brassicales; Brassicaceae. The record is from RNAcentral.
GGAGCAGUCCCGGAGGAGUUGUGACCGGCGGUGGUUGAAUAGGAGGGCUUAUGAUUGGUGGAAGAAUUCCGGGAGGUUUUGUGAUCGGCGGUGGCCUUACCGUUGGUGGUGGAUAGACCACCGGAGGAGGCCUUGUGAUUGGAGGAGGCCUUGUGAUUGGCGGUGGCCUCACCAUUGGUGGUGGAUAAACUACCGGAGGAGGUCUAACAAAUGGCGGUGAUCUCCCUCCUCCACCAUGAUGCGGUGGCCCGCCACCACCACCAUGAUGCGGCGGUCCUCCCCCUUUUCCACCGUGGUGUGGCGGUUUACCACCACCUUUUCCACCGUGGUGUGGCGGUUUACCACCACCUUUUCCUCCGUGAUGUGGUGGUGGCUUGCUGCCUCCUCCUCCACCUCCACCUCCACCGCCACCGCCACCGCCUCCACCACCGCCGCCGCCACCACCACCAUGACGUGGAGGCUUCGGAACAGGAGGGUGAGGGUGAGUGCAAGGAGUGCAAGCUUGGAUCGUUGGUGGCAAUGUGAUGACCGUGACGAUCAAGAAAAUGAAGAAGGAAGCUGAAACCCUUAUCGACCUCAUUAUCUUAGGGUUCUUGAAUUUCUCAAGAAUUAAACUUUCAUU